GAUGAACGCUGGCGGCGUGCUUAACACAUGCAAGUCGAACGAAGCACUUAUCUUUGAUUCUUCGGAUGAAGAGGUUUGUGACUGAGUGGCGGACGGGUGAGUAACGCGUGGGUAACCUGCCUCGUACAGGGGGAUAACAGUUAGAAAUGACUGCUAAUACCGCAUAAGACCACGGAGCCGCAUGGCUCAGUGGGAAAAACUCCGGUGGUAUGAGAUGGACCCGCGUCUGAUUAGGUAGUUGGUGGGGUAACGGCCUACCAAGCCAACGAUCAGUAGCCGACCUGAGAGGGUGACCGGCCACAUUGGGACUGAGACACGGCCCAAACUCCUACGGGAGGCAGCAGUGGGGAAUAUUGCACAAUGGGGGAAACCCUGAUGCAGCGACGCCGCGUGAGCGAAGAAGUAUUUCGGUAUGUAAAGCUCUAUCAGCAGGGAAGAAAAUGACGGUACCUGACUAAGAAGCACCGGCUAAAUACGUGCCAGCAGCCGCGGUAAUACGUAUGGUGCAAGCGUUAUCCGGAUUUACUGGGUGUAAAGGGAGCGUAGACGGCUGUGUAAGUCUGAAGUGAAAGCCCGGGGCUCAACCCCGGGACUGCUUUGGAAACUAUGCAGCUAGAGUGUCGGAGAGGUAAGUGGAAUUCCCAGUGUAGCGGUGAAAUGCGUAGAUAUUGGGAGGAACACCAGUGGCGAAGGCGGCUUACUGGACGAUGACUGACGUUGAGGCUCGAAAGCGUGGGGAGCAAACAGAAUUAGAUACCCUGGUAGUCCACGCCGUAAACGAUGACUAAAAGGUGUCGGGGAGCAAAGCUCUUUGGUGCCGCAGCAAAACGCAAUAAGUAGUCCACCUGGGGAGUACGUUCGCAAGAAUGAAACUCAAAAAGAAUUGACGGGGACCCGCACAAGCGGUGGAGCAUGUGGUUUAAUUUGAAGCAACGCGAAGAACCUUACCUGCUCUUGACAUCCCGGUGACCGGCAUGUAAUGAUGCCUUUUCUUCGGAACACCGGUGACAGGUGGUGCAUGGUUGUCGUCAGCUCGUGUCGUGAGAUGUUGGGUUAAGUCCCGCAACGAGCGCAACCCUUAUCUUCAGUAGCCAGCAUUUUGGAUGGGCACUCUGGAGAGACUGCCAGGGAUAACCUGGAGGAAGGUGGGGAGGACGUCAAAUCAUCAUGCCCCCUAUGAGCAGGGCUACACACGUGCUACAAUGGCGUAAACAAAGGGAAGCAAACCUGCGAGGGUAAGCAAAUCUCAAAAAUAACGUCUCAGUUCGGAUUGUAGUCUGCAACUCGACUACAUGAAGCUGGAAUCGCUAGUAAUCGCGAAUCAGCAUGUCGCGGUGAAUACGUUCCCGGGUCUUGCACA
RNAcentral lists this ribosomal RNA (1360 nucleotides) under uncultured bacterium. Its description in RNAcentral is "bacterial SSU rRNA". It matches the Rfam family "Bacterial small subunit ribosomal RNA", at positions 28 to 1387 of the family's 1533-position model. The record is from RNAcentral.